UAGAUAGGCUCAGGCGAUCCAUUUGGAAACGAUGCAACACAGGAAAUUGCUGUCUGUAUGGGCGGUAUCCGCAGCGCCGGAGAUCUGGUACUGAGGAUGC
This 100-nucleotide non-coding RNA is filed under the name uncultured Emergencia sp. Its description in RNAcentral is "Pyrrolysine insertion sequence mtbB". It matches the Rfam family "Pyrrolysine insertion sequence mtbB". The record is from RNAcentral. Lineage: Bacteria; Bacillati; Bacillota; Clostridia; Peptostreptococcales; Anaerovoracaceae.